This 65-nucleotide transfer RNA is filed under the name Aleurocanthus spiniferus (citrus spiny whitefly). RNAcentral describes it as "tRNA-Arg". Lineage: Eukaryota; Metazoa; Arthropoda; Insecta; Hemiptera; Aleyrodidae. The record is from RNAcentral.
UUAUACAGAAGUAAAUUUACAGUUAAUUUCGACUUAAUAGCUAAGGCUUCCUACCUUCGUAUAAG